UACGAACCGUCCAAACGUUAUUCGGAAUUACUGGGCUUAAAGGGUCCGUAGGCGGCGCUGUUAGUCGGGUGUGAAAGCCCACGGCUCAACCGUGGAAUUGCGCCCGAUACUGCAGUGCUUGAGGGAGACAGAGGUAAGCGGAACUGAUGGUGGAGCGGUGAAAUGCGUUGAUAUCAUCAGGAACACCGGUGGCGAAAGCGGCUUACUGGGUCUCUUCUGACGCUGAGGUACGAAAGCUAGGGGAGCGAACGGG
This 253-nucleotide ribosomal RNA is filed under the name uncultured bacterium. RNAcentral's name for it is "partial 16S ribosomal RNA". It matches the Rfam family "Bacterial small subunit ribosomal RNA", at positions 524 to 776 of the family's 1533-position model. The record is from RNAcentral.